UGAGUGACCCUUCAUUUUACAGCUAUUCACCCGCACUUUAACCUAACACAUAGGGUUUAGUGCUGGUGAACCAGCUGUGUAAAUGUCUUAUGUAUCUCACUUAUUUGUUCUCUGUGCAGUCAGUACCAGGUCAUUGAGCCUUGCAUAAUAAUCUUUGUUUGUUCUGCAGGUGAACUGGGGUGAUGUCCUGUAUCCUCCUUAGGUCGCUGCACUCAGGAAUUCAUGGCCAAAGAAUGUCUGGGUCUUCAUUGCAUUCGCUAAUAUCUGACUAAUAACGCUAUUAUGGGAAAUGGCCUUUAUUUUUCUACGGCUUUGAAUUUAGCAAAAACAUAAAAGACAUUAUUUCCAGUAUAUAACACAGAGGAUUAGUCACGCCAUGUUUUACUUUUUUUUUUAUACUGACGGAGGAAAAAUUAACAACUGUAAAAAAUGUACAUUUUGGGGAUUUGAAGCAAAGAAAUCUCUCCGGGUCUUAGUUGUAGUUUGUAGCAGAGAGGAAGAGAGUCCCAACACUCCACCAGUAAACUACGUAAAUGGUCAACAAACUUUACAUAAAUCAAAAGAACAAGCAAAUCACUCCCUGCACUGUGUUCCUGUGUCAUCUUACUGGGAGGGAGCGCAGAAUACAAGAAGAGGGCGCUUCAUGUGAUGUCGCGCCUGCCGGGACACGCCUCCUUCCGCUCCUCUGUAAAAGAGCGCUCCUGAGCUACCGAAGAUGAUUAUAUAAAGAUGGUUAUGCGGAUGAAAAAUAGCACCACCAAAAUAAAUAUUUACAUAUUCAUGUAUAUGAUUUUAUUAUGUUCAGGACAGGAGACUGAGGAGCCAAUAUCUGUGAAAAUUAAAGCAAUCUUAUAUCCUUGUUCACAUUGAUGCGAUUUGGAUGCGGAUGUGGUGUGGCCAUGCUAAGAUGUGACCACUGUCCCAUGAUGUGCAGAAUGACCUGUUUCCGCACUCCCGAUAUGUGACCGGCGAUGCUGUCUCUGGUCCGUUUUGGGGUGAUAGCUACUUGGAGUACUGUGGGUUAAUACAAUACAAGAAUUUAGGUGCACU
Hyla sarda is the source of this 1050-nucleotide long non-coding RNA. RefSeq lists it as uncharacterized. The record is from RefSeq and is a predicted model, not a curated record. The transcript has 3 exons. Lineage: Eukaryota; Metazoa; Chordata; Amphibia; Anura; Hylidae.